CCUCCACUCAGGCCUUCGGAGCCAGCCAGCCGUGCGUGUGCUCCCAGCAGCCGUGGCUGUUGCUCAGGAGCCCUCGUCCCCGCUGUCCUCUCAUGCAGAAGCCUGACCUCAUCCGCCGUGGAGAGCGAGGCCACGCACCAGCGGAAGCUCCGGCAGAAGCAGCUGCAGCAGCAGUUCCGGGAGCGGAUGGAGAAGCAGCACGUUCGAGUCUCCACGCCGUCAGCUGAGAAGAGUGAGGCAGCGCCUCCGGCCCCUCCUCUGACGCACAGCACUCCUGUAACCGUCUCAGAACCACUCCCGGAGAAAGACUUCCUUGCAGGAGUGACUCAAGAAUUAAUCAGUAAAUACCUUGAAAUGCUUAGACUCUUGAAGACAACUCUGAAAAGUGGGCUGUGGCUCCCGAUGCAGGGGAUGGUGUGGUCAGGCCCUCGUCUACAGCAGACCCAGCCCAGGCCUCUGACACACUAGCCUUGAACAACCAGAUGGUGACCCAGAACAGGACUCCACACAGCCUUUGCCACCAGAAACCACAAGCAAAAUCUGGAUCUUGGGACCUCCAAACUUAUAGCGCCGACCAACGCACAACAGGAAACUGGGAAUCUCAUAGGAAGAGCCAGGACAUGAAGAAAAGGAAAUAUGAUCCAUCUUAACUGAGGCUCAGGCCACAUGAUUGGACUCUGUCACAAAGGGACUUUGGAAAACUACUUUUUGGUCAUGAAAUUGUUCAUCGCUCCUGGAGAAUGAACGUCAUUGCGAUUUAUCUUGCUUCAUUCUGAACCUUAUCAAGAGGAUCUGACUGAGAGCCCA
This 807-nucleotide small RNA is filed under the name Pan troglodytes (chimpanzee). Its description in RNAcentral is "processed transcript". The record is from RNAcentral. Lineage: Eukaryota; Metazoa; Chordata; Mammalia; Primates; Hominidae.